This 654-nucleotide long non-coding RNA is filed under the name Mus musculus (house mouse). RNAcentral's name for it is "Rpsl2". Lineage: Eukaryota; Metazoa; Chordata; Mammalia; Rodentia; Muridae. The record is from RNAcentral.
UUCAGAGGGCACCUUUAACACCCCCUCCGUACGUAGAAAAACAUUCGAGAGACCCAUGGGGUGGUUGCUCUAACCAAAGGGAUAGAAGUAAGCUUCGAACCCAUCCCUUCUAUGUCUGCCCCGGGCCCCACCGAAGUCAGUCCCUCAAUCCAACGUGUGGAGGUAAGGCUGACUUCUUUUGUAAGAGCUGGGGUUGCGAGACUUCAGGUACAGCCCGCUGGAAGCCCUCCUCGAGCUGGGACUAUAUUAGAGUAACAGCCAACUAUUCCCUAGCGUCUUAUGUACCUGGAGGAUUUGACCUAGACGAGUGUACUGACUGGUGCCAUCCGCUCCGUGUCACCUUCACUGAACCAGGGAAGAGAGCUCUGGGAUGGACAAAAGGAACUGAUCCAAGCGCUACUGAGGACUGCUGGCUAUGCCUGUCCUUGGGUCCGCCUUAUUAUGAAGGAAUCGCCUUCAAUGGAGAUUUCAACAGAACCAGCAGCCAUACUUCCUGCUCUUGGGGUACAGGACAAAAACUGACCCUGACUGAAGUAUCCGCGAGGAAUCCAGCUGUUACCCCGCGUAUAUUAUCACCCUGCAUCCAGUUUAGAAGAAAGCUAUGCUGGCCGGCGGUCAAAAAGAGAACCAAUUACUUUAACCCUGGCUGCAUUC